RNAcentral lists this ribosomal RNA (254 nucleotides) under uncultured Pseudomonas sp. RNAcentral describes it as "partial 16S ribosomal RNA". It matches the Rfam family "Bacterial small subunit ribosomal RNA", at positions 99 to 355 of the family's 1533-position model. The record is from RNAcentral. Lineage: Bacteria; Pseudomonadati; Pseudomonadota; Gammaproteobacteria; Pseudomonadales; Pseudomonadaceae.
CGGACGGGUGAGUAAUGCCUAGGAAUCUGCCUGGUAGUGGGGGACAACGUUUCGAAAGGAACGCUAAUACCGCAUACGUCCUACGGGAGAAAGCAGGGGACCUUCGGGCCUUGCGCUAUCAGAUGAGCCUAGGUCGGAUUAGCUAGUUGGUGAGGUAAUGGCUCACCAAGGCGACGAUCCGUAACUGGUCUGAGAGGAUGAUCAGUCACACUGGAACUGAGACACGGUCCAGACUCCUACGGGAGGCAGCAGCA